GGAGCCGGCCUCAGGAUCCGGCGAAUGCGGAAGGGGACUACACACUUUUAAUGUAGGGGUCCCGGGUUCGAGUCCCGGUCGCGCCACCA
RNAcentral lists this transfer RNA (89 nucleotides) under Bryobacterales bacterium. Its description in RNAcentral is "tRNA-Lys". Lineage: Bacteria; Pseudomonadati; Acidobacteriota; Terriglobia; Bryobacterales. The record is from RNAcentral.